RNAcentral lists this ribosomal RNA (433 nucleotides) under uncultured bacterium. RNAcentral describes it as "partial 16S ribosomal RNA". It matches the Rfam family "Bacterial small subunit ribosomal RNA", at positions 28 to 507 of the family's 1533-position model. The record is from RNAcentral.
GACGAACGCUGGCGGCAUGCCUAACACAUGCAAGUCGAACGAGACCUUCGGGCCUAUGGGCGCACGGGUGCUUAACGCGUGGGAACCUGCCCGUAGGUUCGCAAUAACUCCCCGAAAGGGGUGCUAAGACCGGUGAAUGUCAUCGGACCAAAGAUCUAUCGCGGUUGGGUGGGCGCGCGUUGGAUUAGUCAGUUGGUAGGGUAAAAGCCUACCAAGGCGACGAUCCAUAGCUGGUCGGGGAGGAGGAUAAGCCACACUGGGAAUGAGACACGGCCCAGACUGGUACGCGAGGGAGGAGAGGAGUAUAUAGGAGGCUGGGCAAAAGCGUGAUACAGCAAUGCGGCGUGAGUGAUGAAGGCCGUAGGGUUGUAAAGCUCUUUUAGCCGGGAUGAUAAUGACAGUACCGGGAGAAUAAGCUCCGGCUAACUACGUG